UCUUUGAGUAUUCCCAGCACUGACAAGAGAUAAGGGAAAGCAGAAACAACUUUGUUGGUUCAUAAGUCAAUGGCAUCAAAGGGUUUCCAGACCCUGUGGUGAAGUCUAAGUCGUCAGGAUCACUUUACAAAAAAAAUAAUGCAUUAUGUAAUUCAAUUUAGUAUUGUUCUACUUGAGAUAUUUCUUCACUGCGUUCUUAAU
Molecule: non-coding RNA, 201 nt
Organism: Pelobates cultripes (western spadefoot toad)
Lineage: Eukaryota; Metazoa; Chordata; Amphibia; Anura; Pelobatidae
Source: the annotation of a GenBank genome assembly